CCUACGGGUGGCUGCAGUGGGGAAUAUUGGACAAUGGGCGAAAGCCUGAUCCAGCCAUGCCGCGUGUGUGAAGAAGGCCUUCGGGUUGUAAAGCACUUUCAGUGGGGAAGAAAGCCUUGGGGCUAAUACCCUCGAGGAAGGACAUCACCCACAGAAGAAGCACCGGCUAACUCCGUGCCAGCAGCCGCGGUAAUACGGAGGGUGUGAGCGUUAAUCGGAAUUACUGGGCGUAAAGCGCGCGUAGGCGGUCUGAUAAGCCGGUUGUGAAAGCCCCGGGCUCAACCUGGGAACGGCAUCCGGAACUGUCAGGCUAGAGUGCAGGAGAGGAAGGUAGAAUUCCCGGUGUAGCGGUGAAAUGCGUAGAGAUCGGGAGGAAUACCAGUGGCGAAGGCGGCCUUCUGGACUGACACUGACGCUGAGGUGCGAAAGCGUGGGUAGCAAACAGGAUUAAUACCCGAGUAGUC
Molecule: ribosomal RNA, 464 nt
Filed under: Vreelandella stevensii
Lineage: Bacteria; Pseudomonadati; Pseudomonadota; Gammaproteobacteria; Oceanospirillales; Halomonadaceae
Description: partial 16S ribosomal RNA
Rfam family: Bacterial small subunit ribosomal RNA
Source: RNAcentral